Molecule: unclassified non-coding RNA, 1781 nt
Filed under: Imperata cylindrica
Lineage: Eukaryota; Viridiplantae; Streptophyta; Magnoliopsida; Poales; Poaceae
Source: RNAcentral
CCCUCCCCCUCCACUCUCGUGGGUUGAAGUCAGGCUGGGAGUCCACGUGACCAUGGCCGACCCAAGUCCCUGGGUCAAAAACAGCAGUUCGGCCAAGGCAUCCUAGGCCAAAAAUAGCAGUUCGGCCGAGGCAUCCGUGAGCAGCCCAAGUCCCCGAGUAAGUCGGGUUUCGUACGCGUGACGGAUGUGCGGCUUGGGCAAAAACAGCAGCUCGGCCGAGCGACAUCGGUUUGGCAAGCCAGUCCGUGCUCGGGCUAUGGGGCGCACACAUGACCUAAGUGCCACUACACCGUACACCACAGGGGCUAAGCGUGUAUGCACGGUUGGAUGGACUUUUUUUUUGUUAGCGCGGUCGGAUGGACUUGCGUGUAAGCAUGUAGGCACGGUCAGAUGGACCUUGCGCGUGCAUACCCGGUCCACCAGCUGUUCACCCAUCGUACACACGACUGUGUGGUCGGAUGGACCUUGCGUGCGUGUAUGCACGGUUGGUUGGAUGGAUGGCGAUGAGCAGCUAGGACUCGGACCGUGUGUGAUGAUAUGCCUCACAAGGUCACGGGAGAAGGACAAGAUGACAUUGGGACAAACGAGCCCAAAACGGGACCCGGUCCCACUGGGGGUUGGCCCACGGGGCCUGUCCAUCCGUGGAGAACAACAAAUGCCAUGCACCUCCUUGGCGGAAACCUACGUGUCUUGCCGAAAACAUUUGCAAAACUAUGUAUCUCUUGGAUGUCCUGAGGUCCUCCAAAACGCUGGAAGGAACCAUACAAAAAACUGAUAGAACCUCCUGGUAGGGGGGUUGGCCCUCUAGAACAUUAGGGGGUGAUGUCUGGUUGCUUGAGGCCUCAGGUAAAAUGCUUCAAAACCACUAGUGUUUUGAUGACCCGCUAAUGAGGCUCCACCGAAUGUCGGUCACGCCCCCAGCGCCCGUGGUCGGCUGGUGGCCUGCCGUGGAUAGCUUUGACUGGCUGCAACGGGCUGCUGGCUGCCCGGCUAGCCAAUGUGUGGCCAUUAGUGACGGCACACUGAACUGAAGUGACAGAAGUUUUGGUGGGCAGCUGGCUAGCUUGGGUGGCCAGCGUGUUGUUGGAACUGUUUUGGUGACUCACGGCCUCCCUUAUCAGCCGGCAGCCUACGGUGGCGUGCUUCUAUGGCGUGCUACUAUGGGUAGCUGGCUGUCGUGGGUGCGUAGCUUGUUGUUGGAACAGUUUCGGUGAUGCGUGGACACCCUAGCCGGCCGGCAGCCUGUGUUGGCCUGCUUCUGUGGGCGCUGGCCCGUUGAUGGUUAAGUUUUGGUAUCUCCCGUGCUCUGUGGACCUUCGGUUGCUAUCCUCGCAAGUAGACUCACUAUGCCUAGCGUGGAGUGAUGCUUUGGAUGGCUUAACCAUCGUGGCUACGCUGGCGCAUGAGUUGUUUUAGACAUGUGACUGCUUGGAGGACCCAGUGUCCGUUCAUUCAUGCGGGCAUGUUUUGCCUGCUGCAUUGACAAGUGCUUGCGUGCUCUACCAGUUGCAUUGGAAGUUGUGCUCAUUACAUGUUGUUUACAUCAAGAACAUCCUCUAGGUGUGGCUCAUUGGCUAUGAAGCGCUUGUGGCAUUGCCUCGUGCUUCAUUUGCCCAUGUCGACAGCACCAAGGACACCUCGCUUGUGCUCUUGGUCUUGGAUGUGGCUGAUGCUGAAGGCCGGAGGGCAUCACCCUCCCGUGCCUAAAAAUUCAGUCCAUUUGGAAACAACGACAGCUAGCCCCUAGCCGAUGCCUCGUGCGGAGGCUGGCGCUGGCUCGU